Molecule: ribosomal RNA, 253 nt
Filed under: uncultured bacterium
Lineage: Bacteria
Description: partial 16S ribosomal RNA
Rfam family: Bacterial small subunit ribosomal RNA
Source: RNAcentral
UACGAAGGGGGCUAGCGUUGUUCGGAAUUACUGGGCGUAAAGCGCACGUAGGCGGAUAUUUAAGUCAGGGGUGAAAUCCCAGAGCUCAACUCUGGAACUGCCUUUGAUACUGGGUAUCUAGAGUAUGGAAGAGGUGAGUGGAAUUCCGAGUGUAGAGGUGAAAUUCGUAGAUAUUCGGAGGAACACCAGUGGCGAAGGCGACUGACUGGACAAGUAUUGACGCUGAGGUACGAAAGCGUGGGGAGCAAACAGG